CUACGGGUGGCUCCAGUGGGGAAUUUUGGACAACGGGCGCAAGCCUGAUCCAGCAAUGCCGCGUGAGUGAAGAAGGCCUUCGGGUUGUAAAGCUCUUUUGUCAGGGAAGAAACGGCUGUGGCUAAUAUCCACGGCUAAUGACGGUACCUGAAGAAUAAGCACCGGCUAACUACGUGCCAGCAGCCGCGGUAAUACGUAGGGUGCAAGCGUUAAUCGGAAUUACUGGGCGUAAAGCGUGCGCAGGCGGUUUUGUAAGUCUGUCGUGAAAUCCCCGGGCUCAACCUGGGAAUUGCGAUGGAGACUGCAAGGCUAGAAUCUGGCAGAGGGGGGUAGAAUUCCACGUGUAGCAGUGAAAUGCGUAGAGAUGUGGAGGAACACCGAUGGCGAAGGCAGCCCCCUGGGUCAAGAUUGACGCUCAUGCACGAAAGCGUGGGGAGCAAACAGGAUUAGAUACCCCGGUAGUC
This 464-nucleotide ribosomal RNA is filed under the name uncultured bacterium. RNAcentral's name for it is "partial 16S ribosomal RNA". It matches the Rfam family "Bacterial small subunit ribosomal RNA", at positions 339 to 795 of the family's 1533-position model. The record is from RNAcentral.